This is a long non-coding RNA of Ananas comosus (pineapple), 297 nucleotides long. RefSeq lists it as uncharacterized. The transcript is spliced from 3 exons. Lineage: Eukaryota; Viridiplantae; Streptophyta; Magnoliopsida; Poales; Bromeliaceae. The record is from RefSeq and is a predicted model, not a curated record.
CGGUACAAGAUCCCGUGUACCGGUACAAGGAGGCAGAAUUUGCACAGUUCGAACUGCAGGGGUGUUUUUGCAUUUGUGGGUCUCUUAUAUCAGCACCCACGUCCCUAGGGCCCUUCUUUGAGCUCUCCACUGCAGGGAAAAAGCCAUUUACACCAUUUUCGAAGCUUGGAGCUUGGGUUUGGAGUUUGAUUGAGGGAAGAUACUUGGAGUUUGAAGACUUUGAGCUGGUUUUGAGGCUUCUAAGAGGGCUUUUGAGGCUUGAUUGGUUGGUUUAGAACCUUCCUAGGGCUUGGAUUG